This 283-nucleotide ribosomal RNA is filed under the name uncultured bacterium. Its description in RNAcentral is "partial 16S ribosomal RNA". It matches the Rfam family "Bacterial small subunit ribosomal RNA", at positions 28 to 313 of the family's 1533-position model. The record is from RNAcentral.
GACGAACGCUGGCGGCGUGCUUCAGGCAUGCAAGUCGAACGGGUGUCUACCUUCGGGUAGCACACUAGUGGCGGACGGGUGAGUAACGCGUUAGCAACCUGCCCAAAGGUGGGAAUAACUAACCGAAAGGUUAGCUAAUACCGCAUGUGAUAGCUGGUUCUUGGACUGGUUAUGAAAGGCUUCGGUCGCCUUUGGAGGGGCUUGCGUCAGAUUAGCUUGUUGGUGGGGUAAUGGCCACCAAGGCGACGAUCUGUAGCUGGUCUGAGAGGAUGGUCAGCCACAC